RNAcentral lists this transfer RNA (75 nucleotides) under Metabacillus lacus. It matches the Rfam family "tRNA". Rfam says of the family: Transfer RNA (tRNA) molecules are approximately 80 nucleotides in length. Their secondary structure includes four short double-helical elements and three loops (D, anti-codon, and T loops). Further hydrogen bonds mediate the characteristic L-shaped molecular structure. tRNAs have two regions of fundamental functional importance: the anti-codon, which is responsible for specific mRNA codon recognition, and the 3' end, to which the tRNAs corresponding amino acid is attached (by aminoacyl-tRNA synthetases). tRNAs cope with the degeneracy of the genetic code in two manners: having more than one tRNA (with a specific anti-codon) for a particular amino acid; and 'wobble' base-pairing, i.e. permitting non-standard base-pairing at the 3rd anti-codon position. The record is from Rfam by way of RNAcentral. Lineage: Bacteria; Bacillati; Bacillota; Bacilli; Caryophanales; Bacillaceae.
GCGCUCGUAGCUCAGUGGAUAGAGCGGUGGUUUCCGGUACCACGUCAGUCGGGGGUUCGAAUCCCUUCGAGCGCG